AGAGAUUGCAGCGGCGAAAAUUUGGAGAUCGACUCCCUCAUGUCUUCAGUAAAUUCUUCAUCCACUACAAGAGAUCGCCUCGCGAAACAACGGGGAAUUCCCACAAGAUGCAAUUGCGGUGAGGCAGUGAAUCGUUUCACUUCAAAAACAAUUCAAAAUCCGGGAAGAUUAUUUCAUUGUUGUCCUUUGGGAUCUCAAAAGGACAAAACCCACUUGUUCAAAUGGACUGACAAGUCAGUUGUUGAGGAGAUUGAAGACUUCCAAGACCUGUUUGACGUGUUACUCGUUGACAAUUCCGAGUUUCAGAAAUCAGUGAGAGCUGGUGAGGCCAUGAUGACACGCCAUGAGAGUAGAAUUCAAGAGAUGGAAGAUGCAAUGUGCCAUUGCGAAGAGAAGACCUUGGAAUGCAUUAGGGAACUUAGGGGCAUAAAAGCUUUGUUUGUGUGUUGUUUGGUGAUGGUCUUCUUGUACCAUAUCUAUGCAUGAUGUUCAACUACUUUUAUGUGCUUCCUCAACUUGUUGUUUCUUAUUUUCAAAGAAGUUAAGACCAUGUUUCUUGUUAUUUCGAGGUGAUCAUCAUCUACUGAAACGAAUUAUUUUGCAAUUACUUUGAUUGUUACUAGAAUAAAUCGAUUUGUCUCUAUAGUUUAGCAAAUACCAAAUUGUCAAAUAGGUUCUUAAACAGAAGAUCAAAUUGUUUCAAAAGCAAUAAAGAAAAAAACAGAGACAGAUGCAGACACAUAACAAACUAGAUGGGUAAAUCGCAUGUUCCUCUCUUGUGUCCUUCAGUUCCACAACGGCUACACUUAUGCUUUUUAUUCUUCUUUGAUCCUUGAGAAGAUGCGAUCUUGUCUUCUACUGAUUCAUACCUUCUCUUUACUGGUCGACCAGCACUCUUUCUUGUCUUUGGUGGUAAAACCUUUGCAAGUUUAACCUCAGCAGGGACAUUCCAUUCUGACUCUACAACUGCUAUUGGAUUAAUGGAAUCUGCAUAGGCGGUUCUCCACGCUGCAGUGCUGUAUAAGGCGUCAGUGAAUCUGUGCACUUCCAUACCUGUCAAUCUCAAAAAAAACUUGAUCAAUAUGAAGUCUAUAUGAUGAAAAUCCCGAAAAUAAAUAAUUCUCAAGUAUUCAUGUGUUUAUACUUCCAUACCUCGUGAAUAAAUUGCAGGAAUGGCGUGUCGGCAAGGAAUUUUUCCUAUAUCAUACUUACCACAUGUGCAUGUUCUUCUUUCCAAAUCAACAUGACAAUCAUAUAUGUCUCCUUUUACAACCGAUCUGAAGUUGUCAACCUUGUAAACCUGGAAUCCUUUUGCCUUCACAAUUCUCCUAUCAAUCUUUCUCUCCACCUUAGCGGUUAAAGGAUCUAGAUGCUUUGAGCUUAACAAGCGACGCUCAUAGAACCAUCGAGUCAACAGUUCUCUUAUACUAUCAAGCAAAGGAAUAACCGGAUAUUCUCUAGGUAUUCUAAGAACUGAAUUUAUAGACUCUGCAGGGUUCGUGGUCCUAAUGUCAUACCUGGAACCAGGGAAGAGAGAACGAGCCCAUUUGCGCACAUCAGCCUCCCGUAGAUAUCUUCCAAGCUCAGGACUCAUAUCAAAAAUUUCGGUGAUACGUUCUUGAAAUUCAGUGUAUCUAUAUGCCCGUGAAGCCUUUUCUACCAACGCAGUCAAUCCUUUUGUCUUGAAAAAUGAGACCACAUUGGUCAAUAAGUGAUGAAUGCAAAUUCCAUGUGCUGAUCGAGGGUAGACAGUCCCAAUAGCUUUAGAAAUAGACGCAUUUCUAUCUGAGACAAAAGCUAGGUCUUGACAAUCAGCAAUAACCACUUUCAACUGUCUGAAGAACCACCCCC
Brassica rapa (field mustard) is the source of this 1851-nucleotide long non-coding RNA. RefSeq lists it as uncharacterized. NCBI's taxonomy places the organism in Eukaryota, Viridiplantae, Streptophyta, Magnoliopsida, Brassicales, Brassicaceae. The record is from RefSeq and is a predicted model, not a curated record.